Molecule: ribosomal RNA, 1439 nt
Filed under: uncultured bacterium
Lineage: Bacteria
Description: bacterial SSU rRNA
Rfam family: Bacterial small subunit ribosomal RNA
Source: RNAcentral
AGGGUUUGAUCCUGGCUCAGAACGUACGCUGGCGGCACGCCUAACACAUGCAAGUCGAACGAAGUAGCAAUACUUAGUGGCAGACGGGUGAGUAACAUGUGGGUAUCUGCCCUUUGGCCUGGAAUAACACGAGGAAACUUGUGCUAAUACCGGAUAAGUCUUUACGGAGAAAGCUUUAUGCACCAUUGGAUGAGCCUGCACUUGAUUAGUUUGUUGGUGGGGUAAUGGCCUACCAAGACUGUGAUCAAUAGCUGAUUUGAGAGGAUGAUCAGCCACAUUGGGACUGAGACACGGCCCAAACUCCUACGGGAGGCAGCAGUGGGGAAUCUUGCACAAUGGAGGAAACUCUGAUGCAGCGAUGCCGCGUGAGUGAAGAAGGCCUUUGGGUUGUAAAGCUCUUUCGUCGGGGAAGAAAAUGACUGUACCCGAAUAAGAAGGUCCGGCUAACUUCGUGCCAGCAGCCGCGGUAAUACGAAGGGACCUAGCGUAGUUCGGAAUUACUGGGCUUAAAGAGUUCGUAGGUGGUUGAAAAAGUUAGUGGUGAAAUCCCAGAGCUUAACUCUGGAACUGCCAUUAAAACUUUUCAGCUAGAGUAUGAUAGAGGAAAGCAGAAUUUCUAGUGUAGAGGUGAAAUUCGUAGAUAUUAGAAAGAAUACCAAUUGCGAAGGCAGCUUUCUGGAUCAUUACUGACACUGAGGAACGAAAGCAUGGGUAGCGAAGAGGAUUAGAUACCCUCGUAGUCCAUGCCGUAAACGAUGUGUGUUAGACGUUGGAAAUUUAUUUUCAGUGUCGCAGCGAAAGCGAUAAACACACCGCCUGGGGAGUACGACCGCAAGGUUAAAACUCAAAUGAAUUGACGGGGACCCGCACAAGUAGUGGAGCAUGUGGUUUAAUUCGAAGAUACGCGCAGAACCUUACCAACACUUGACAUGUUCGUCGCGACUCUAAGAGAUUAGAGUUUUCGGUUCGGCCGGACGAAACACAGGUGCUGCAUGGCUGUCGUCAGCUCGUGUCGUGAGAUGUUGGGUUAAGUCCCGCAACGAGCGCAACCCUCACUUUUAGUUGCCAUCAUUAAGUUGGGCACUCUGAAAGAACUGCCAGUGAUAAGCUGGAGGAAGGUGGGGAUGACGUCAAGUCCUCAUGGCCCUUACGUGUUGGGCUACACACGUGCUACAAUGGUAUCUACAACAGGAAGCAAGACUGCGAGGUCAAGCAAAUCCUUAAAAGAUACCUCAGUUCGGAUUGCACUCUGCAACUCGAGUGCAUGAAGCUGGAAUUACUAGUAAUCGUGGAUCAGCGUGCCACGGUGAAUGCGUUCCCGGGUCUUGUACACACCGCCCGUCACACCAUGGGAGUUGGUUCUACCUUAAGGCAAGGUUUCAAACCCUUGACCACGGUAUAGUCAGCGACUGGGGUGAAGUCGUAACAAGGUAACCGUA